GACGAACGCUGGCGGCGUGCUUAACACAUGCCAGUCGAACGGAAAGGCCCUGCUUUUGUGGGGUGCUCGAGUGGCGAACGGGUGAGUAACACGUGAGUAACCUGCCCUUGACUUUGGGAUAACUUCAGGAAACUGGGGCUAAUACCGGAUAGGAGCUCCUGCCGCAUGGUGGGGGUUGGAAAGUUUCGGCGGUUGGGGAUGGACUCGCGGCUUAUCAGCUUGUUGGUGGGGUAGUGGCUUACCAAGGCUUUGACGGGUAGCCGGCCUGAGAGGGUGACCGGCCACAUUGGGACUGAGAUACGACCCGGACUCCUACGGGAGGCAGCAGUGGGGAAUAUUGCACAAUGGGCGGAAGCCUGAUGCAGCAACGCCGCGUGCGGGAUGACGGCCUUCGGGUUGUAAACCGCUUUCGCCUGUGACGAAGCGUGAGUGACGGUAAUGGGUAAAGAAGCACCGGCUAACUACGUG
Molecule: ribosomal RNA, 468 nt
Filed under: uncultured bacterium
Lineage: Bacteria
Description: partial 16S ribosomal RNA
Rfam family: Bacterial small subunit ribosomal RNA
Source: RNAcentral